AAAAUGGGUGGCAAUUGCUCUUUUCAUCAGUGCACAAGAUAUUGUGUGCUGGGGACAAGACAAAGUUGAACAGCCAUCAAGAGAAAUGACUUCAACUGAGGGAGAUCAAGUGACUUUACUGUGCAAUUACACUAUUGAUCAACUGAGCCUGAAUUUAAGGAGAGGUUCAAUGCAACAUUGGACUCCAUAUUAAGAAGAGUUCCACUGACAAUCAAGAGUCUGCAUGUGUCUGACUCUGCUGUGUACUACUGUGCUCUGCA
Molecule: long non-coding RNA, 260 nt
Organism: Myxocyprinus asiaticus (Chinese sucker)
Lineage: Eukaryota; Metazoa; Chordata; Actinopteri; Cypriniformes; Catostomidae
Exons: 3
Source: RefSeq, a predicted model, not a curated record